This 253-nucleotide ribosomal RNA is filed under the name uncultured bacterium. RNAcentral describes it as "partial 16S ribosomal RNA". It matches the Rfam family "Bacterial small subunit ribosomal RNA", at positions 524 to 776 of the family's 1533-position model. The record is from RNAcentral.
UACGUAGGGGGCUAGCGUUGUCUGGAAUCAUUGGGCGUAAAGAGCGUGUAGGCGGUCCGGUAAGUCCGCUGUGAAAGUCGGGGGCUCAACCCUCGAAUGCCGGUGGAUACUGUCGGGCUAGAGUGCGGAAGAGGCGAGUGGAAUUCCUGGUGUAGCGGUGAAAUGCGCAGAUAUCAGGAGGAACACCUAUUGCGAAGGCAGCUCGCUGGGACGUAACUGACGCUGAGACGCGAAAGCGUGGGGAGCAAACAGG